CCUACGGGGUGCAGCGGUAGGGAAUAUUGCUCAAUGGGGGAAACCCUGAAGCAGCAACGCCGCGUGGAGGAUGAAGGUUUUCGGAUUGUAAACUCCUUUUGUUAGAGAAGAUAAUGACGGUAUCUACCGAAUACGCACCGGCUAACUCCGUGCCAGCAGCCGCGGUAAUACGGAGGGUGCAAGCGUUACUCGGAAUCACUGGGCGUAAAGAGCGCGUAGGCGGGAUAGCAAGUCAGAUGUGAAAUCCUAUGGCUUAACCAUAGAACUGCAUUUGAAACUGUUAUUCUAGAGUAUGGGAGAGGUAGGUGGAAUUCUUGGUGUAGGGGUAAAAUCCGUAGAGAUCAAGAGGAAUACUCAUUGCGAAGGCGACCUGCUGGAACAUAACUGACGCUGAUGCGCGAAAGCGUGGGGAGCAAACAGGAUUAGAUACCCGGGUAGUC
This 440-nucleotide ribosomal RNA is filed under the name uncultured bacterium. RNAcentral describes it as "partial 16S ribosomal RNA". It matches the Rfam family "Bacterial small subunit ribosomal RNA", at positions 338 to 795 of the family's 1533-position model. The record is from RNAcentral.